Anas platyrhynchos (mallard) is the source of this 2326-nucleotide non-coding RNA. NCBI's taxonomy places the organism in Eukaryota, Metazoa, Chordata, Aves, Anseriformes, Anatidae. The record is from RefSeq and is a predicted model, not a curated record.
AGGGAAAGCAACGGCCACUUUUUUUCUUUUUUUCAUUUUUUUUUUUUUUUCUCUCCCCCCGAGGAGAUGUCCUGAAAAAAGCCCCCGGUGCAGGGUUCAGGGCGGGGGGAGGCAGCAAGCAGCGCCCAGAGCUGGACGGGGCCCGGAGGACACACGGUCGGGGAGCUCUGCUGCCCUGCCAGCCAAACAUCCAUCCCCAGGCCCUUUGUCCAGCUUCGUUUUCUAGGGGAGCUUCAGAAAUUUGAGACGCUUCACUUCCGACAUGUGCCCCCUCUUGGGGUUUUGGAGAGCCCAACGGGUCAUUUGAAGGGGCUCAGCCCUGAGAAAAAGCACACAAGUGAUGCGAGGACCUCACCAACACCACGGGCAUGGCUUGUGCUUUGCUAGCUGAGUAUAUUGCAUACACACACACACACACACACAGCCCAUAGCCAUAGCUGAAAAACAAGGACAACGAAUAUGGAAUGGAUCAGAAAGAUAAAUAGCAUAAAAUCAGGAACAGUCCAGUCCCACACUUGCCAUUUGUUAUAGAGAGGAGAAGUAAAUGGGAUUCACAUGUCGAGCAUUAGCUGGUUGUUAGUCUGUAAGAUAAUAUUAACUUUAGUGCUUGCUGCUUUACUCCACUUUUCCAAAGGCAGUUCCAGGAGGCGCCCAGCCUGUAAUUUAGGAUGGCACAUACUGUGUGAAAGAGGCUUUGGCACCGGGGCCUACCAGCACAUCAAGGUGAUAUUAACAUAAUAAAACGUUUGGAGAGCGAGUAGGAGCUCAUAAAUUAAUGCAUUCUACUGUUUUAAUGCUGGGAGCUAACAAUGCGUUUCCUGUGCGGCUGAUCGUCCCCGCUGCAGCCUAACAGCUGUUUUAAAGCUUCCAGCUUGGAGGAUGGCCACCAUAGAGCUUCCCACCCAGAGAAGAUAUCCGAUGGAUGCAGAUGUGAACAACACAUGGGGGUUUUGCCCCAAAGACACCGAGGAGUGCAGAGCUGCUGGGGUUCAGGUAGAAAUGCCCAUCCACUGCCGGGCUCCUCAUCGCCAGGUGAUGCUCCUGCUGCCAACCAAAGAGGCACCAAACCACCUCCACCCCAACCCAAGCAGUUUCCAGAAGGAUGGUUUCCAAAGCCAAGCUCGUAUUCUGCAUGGUGGUGGCACAAACUGUUCCUGUACAAACAAAAGAACCCCGUGCAGUUGCUUAUUUUAAUCAUCCCAAACAUUCAUUAAUGUCUCUGUGUAUUCCCAAAUAUAGCAAAGAAAUCGCUCCCCAAGCUGACCCGCUCCCUCAUUCGCAGCCUUCCCUGUUAGUGCAGCCUUGGAAUAGUGUCUAGGAGGCCGCACAGCUUCUUUGGGAAAACUGGGAUGUUUGGAACAUGAGUGGAUUUGAGCAUUUCUAAACUUCCCAGAAGAGGCAAAUCGUAAAGGAAUAAACUUCUUUCUGUGCACGCACAUUUGCUUUGGAGCCAAAUGGAAAGGAGAGAUCAGAAAAAAAAAUGACAAAUUGUUUGGAAAAUGUUGUCCUUCCCAAGACAGACCUAACCAUAUGGGGGGAAGGGACUCAAUACGGAUUUUUUUCCCUUUAAAUUCCAGUCCAGCAGCCCUCCCAUUCACUCCGCUGGGAGGUUUGUGUGAGUCAGACCUGCAAGAUCAUCCAUUCAAGGCCGGUAAUAUUUCCAGCACUUCAGUCCACUCCUAUUCCCUGCUGAAGCAAAAUGGAAAGGGUUCUCCCCCAAAUUUGUGGUGGGAGCAGCGGGAGGGGGCUGAGUGCUCUCCUCGCUGCCUCCCAACUUCUCCCACAGCCCAGCAUCGCUGAGGAUGAGCUGCAGGGAAGGAAAGGGCAGCGCUGCUCCAGCGCUUAGAAAAUGUAUCUGUGACUGUGUAGAUGACUGCAAAAAGCAAAACGCCGCUGGAACAUGGAGAAUAAAGCAUGAGGAUGGGGAGAAGCCCUCUUUCCAUCUUUCCAGCCCUGCCCCAGCCUCCUGGUGUGAGCCCAGCGAGGUGCACGAGGUUUUUGUGCCUGCAGCCAACCACCCCCACCUACCCCGGGACGUGUGCAGGUUAAGGCAGGAAUGAGGCAAAUGGAAGAAGCUUUAAAGGAUCAAAAUGUACUGAUGUUUUCAUCGUGCUUGUGAAAGGCUGCUGCAGCGUGCUGGAUCACUGAGGACAUACCUUGGUUCUUCCUGGACCAAACGAAUGGUAUGUGGUUACCUUGGUGGUUAGCUGGAGCACAGAAAAUGCUUGUUGUGGCAAAGAAAUCCUUUUGCUUCUUUCAAAUCAUUGAAUUUAUCAUCGUUGUCAUCUUUAAGUAAUAAACCAGCUCUAUAUUUAUGCAUCCCCAA